This 24-nucleotide non-coding RNA is filed under the name Gallus gallus (chicken). RNAcentral also lists the same sequence under 3 other names. Lineage: Eukaryota; Metazoa; Chordata; Aves; Galliformes; Phasianidae. The record is from RNAcentral.
CUGGACUCUGAAUCCAGCGAUCCG